RNAcentral lists this long non-coding RNA (320 nucleotides) under Ananas comosus (pineapple). RNAcentral describes it as "long non-coding RNA (ACOM_LNC016800)". The record is from RNAcentral. Lineage: Eukaryota; Viridiplantae; Streptophyta; Magnoliopsida; Poales; Bromeliaceae.
CGAUGCAAUAAAAAUAAAUGCGGAAAAUAAAAAGCACACCGAGAUUUACGUGGGAAAACUCCAACUUGGAGAAAAACCCACGGGACCAAUACGCGAAAAAAUAAUUCACUAAGAGAAAAGAUUACAAAGUGAUUACCGACUCCACGGACUCAACCUCUCUUAACCUCCUAUGAAUCUUCGCGCUACCCUCCGGGCUGUCCACACCCUCACGUUCGAAUCCACGAACGCCUCCACUUCGAAUCCACGAAGCUUCAAUCACGCCGAAUCCACGACGCCACUCGAAUCUACGAGCCAACGAUCCGAAUCCAUGAACCGCCUUU